This is a long non-coding RNA of Fopius arisanus, 732 nucleotides long. RefSeq lists it as uncharacterized. NCBI's taxonomy places the organism in Eukaryota, Metazoa, Arthropoda, Insecta, Hymenoptera, Braconidae. The transcript has 3 exons. The record is from RefSeq and is a predicted model, not a curated record.
CGGGACGUGUGUAUUCGAGUUGGGUUUCUGGUAAAUGCCAAUUACACAUGUUUCUGCGCAACGCCAUUAACCGCAGUGUUUAGGAUGCCCACAAUCUAACGCACGUGUCCCACCUUGCGGGGCAUUCAAACCAACUGUGUUACUAAUGAAACUGAAAAGCUUGACCAGCACAAAUGGCGUGUGCGUGCCGCAGAUAAACCACAGAAUUGAUAAGUAAUUGACUGUCCGAAGGCGUUGAUAAUGCGAUCGCGAAAUGUCACGACAGCUGAUUCGUUUCUACUCGCGUCUGAAGGCACGCAAAUCAUUACAACUGGGAAUUAAGUUGGAGGAGUGUGAUAUUAUUCAGAUGAUUUAGGUGUUAUUCGUUUAUUGUUUUUUUUUGUCUUCAAGGAGAGGUUGUAGAAAAAAGAGGAGUGGGGUUGUCUCUGGAGUAGAUAAACGGAGGACUAAAGGCUUAAAGAGCAUUUGGAAUCGGUGUUUCAAAGAAAUGUUACGAAAUUACAAGUUAAAAUACGAAUUUUUCAUCUUUACAUGUGAGAAAGAAUCGAAAUUGUAUCCCAAACCUUGCAUUGAAUUUAUGAUUAAUGGAGAAUUCAGGAGUACAAAAAUGGAAAAAUGUAUAAUUUACGAGAAGAAAAUUGUUGGAGAGGAGUAUAAUAAAUAGCUCAAGCCCGACAGGAAGAAAAUAUGAAACUUCGUCAAACCCUCAAUGAAUGCACGAACACUUCAACA